Molecule: ribosomal RNA, 3273 nt
Filed under: Nanobdellota archaeon
Lineage: Archaea; Nanobdellati; Nanobdellota
Description: 23S ribosomal RNA
Rfam family: Archaeal large subunit ribosomal RNA
Source: RNAcentral
UAUGUAUAGAGACCUACGCCAUUAGAUGGAUAGCUUGGCUUAGGAUGUGAUGAAGGGCGUGGCCAGCUGCGAUAAGCUCAAGGGAGGCGCAAGCAGCCUUAGAUCUUGAGAUUCCUGAAUGAGACAUCUUUUCUUUUUUAAGAAGAUUAGUAAUAAUCACCGACGCGGGGAAUUGAAAGAAAGAAAGUUCUUUUACUUCUUUCCAAGAGACAUCUUAGUACCCGCAGGAAAAGAAAUCAAUUGAGAUGCUGUUAGUAUCAGCGAGAGAAAUCAGCAUAAGGCAAACUGAAUUCUUUAUAGAAAUAUAAAGAAGAUGUGGUGUUUAGAGCUACUUUUAAUCUUAAUUUUUAAUAUCCAAAUUUAUCUGGAAAGAUAAGCCUUAGAGGAUGAUAGCUCCGUAGGAUGUUAAAAAAAGAUUUUGUAGUUUCUAGAGUAGGGCACAUUGGAUAUUGUGUCUGAAUCUGGGAGCCAUCAACUUCCAACCUUAAAUAUUAUCCUAAGACCGAUAGCGAAGAGUAUAGUGAUAAAACGCUGAAAAGUACCCAUGAUAGGGGGUUAAAAGUCCUUGAAAUCUAAUGGUUAUAGCAUGAUACUGCUCUUCGGAGUUGUAUCGUACGUUUUGAAUAACGGACCAGGGAGUUUGCCUAAGUGGCAAGAUUAAGUCUUUUGUGAUGUAAUCUUAAAGAAAUUGAAAGCUCGCAGUUUUACGAGGAGCAAGGUAUGAAAGUGCCUUAAGUCACUUGGGCCAGACCCGAAACCGGACGAUCUAGCCUUGAGCAAGGUGAAGUGGCAGAAAUGUCAUGGAGGCCUGAAGAGGUGCUGUGGACAAGCGUUCUUCUGACUUGUGGCUAGGGGUGAAAAGCCAAUCGAGUCUGGUGAUAUCUUUAAGGGUGGUUGAUCUGCCCUAAAGACACUAUAGCUGGUUCCUGCCGAAGUUGGCCGCAGUCAAGUCUUGGAGGAGAUAGUUAAGAUGGUAUAGCUACGGAUUAAGGAUUUUGGGGAAUAAAAUCUUCGGUUCUUUGUCCAACUCAAAAUGUUUUAACAUCUUAGAUUCUAGGAGACGGGGGCAGGCGGUAAGCGUCUGUUGCGAGAGGGGAACAACCCAGAGUGGAAUUAAGGUCCCAAAAUACUGGUUAAGUGUUAAAGGGUGAAAGGUGUGCAUCACCAUAGACAGCGGGGAGGUAUGCUUAGAAGCAGCAAUCCUUUAAAGAAAGCGUAAGAACCCUUUUUAAAAAAGCGUUCACGGAAAAUUUUCGUGGAAAAGGGCUCCGCUAGAUAGCUCACCUGUCAAGGUGGUGUGCCCUGAAAAUGGACGGGGCUAAACUAGUUACCGAUAUUCCAUACUAUUCUUUAUUGAAUAAGUGGUAGGUAGGCGUAUUGUUAGGGUAGAAGUUUCUUCGUGAGAAGGGAUGGACCUAAUAAUAAUGAGAAUCCUGGUAGUAGUAGGAUCUAUACAGAGUGAGAAUCUCUGGUACCGAAAGGCUAAGGGUUUCUCAGCAAUGCAAUUCAGCUGAGAGUAAGUUGAUCCUAACCCAAUCCAUAAAUUGGUAAGUGGGAAAGGGAAUCAGUUUAAUAUUACUGAACUACUUAGGUACUUAAUGGUAACAAAGAGUUAAUUCCAGACGUUUUGGGCUAGACUAACACCUAUUGUUUAUGGUGCUAACUAGAAUAAGCCAAGGGAGUAUUGUAAUAAUGAGAACUUGGUUAAAUCUAGGAAUGGUUGUCUUAUGGAUGAUUUAGUUGAUGCCUAGAGCCAGUGAAAAUGGAAUUAAUUGGAUCCUAAGUAAUCAUACCCAGAACCGGCACAGGUAGCUAAGGUGAGAAGCCUAAGGUAUGAGGGAGUAAUCUAGUUGAGGGAAUUCGGCAAAUGAGUGUAAGAUCUAUUUUUUUACAUUCAGUCGUGAUUAGUCCCGUGUCUUUGGUAUAAGGGAUCCCUGCGGUCGUGUUCUUUAUGGAUGCGAUUACAGGGUGCAAUAACUAGGAUGGCCCGACUGUUUAACAAAAACGUAACUUUCCGCAAAGCUGUAAAGCCAUGUAUGGAAAGUGAUGUCUGCCCAGUGCCUGCACUUCAAAGUCUGUUUCAACGGACCUAAGAACAGGUAAACGGCGGGAAUAACUAUAAUUCUCUUAAGGUAGCGAAAAUGGUAGUAAAUUACUAUCGCAGUGCCUUGUCGUUUGAAUGACGACCUAAGAAGAAGAACAGUGAAUGUCUCUUCUGUCGAAGCAUGAAUGGCAUAACGAGGUCAUCACUGUCCCCAACUAGAGUCCCCUGAACACACUAUUCUGGUGCAAAGGCCAGAGACCUCAAGUGGGAAGUAAAGACCCCGUGGAUGUAUAGGUAAAAUGCUUAUACAGCGGAAAACUUUACUACAACUUGUUGUUGUUGUGUGAAUUUUAGUGUGCAGUAUAGGUGGGAGUUGUUCGAUGGUUUAGACGCUAGUUUGAACCUAGACAAAAGUGAGAUACCACCCAUUGAAAUUUAUAUAACUAACUUUCUUCGGAAAGGACAUCAUCAGGCGGGUAGUUUGGCUGGGGCGGCACCCUGCUGAAAAGAUAUCAGUAGGGCCCUAAGGUCAGCUCAAGGAGUUUAGAAAUCUCCUGUAGAGUGCAAGAGCAAAAGCUGGCUUAACUGAAUUCCAAACAAUAAGGAAUGUAGGAAGGAAACUUUGGUCUAGCGAACCCUUAUGUCCUCUUUGAUGGGGGCUAAGUAUGACAGAAAACUUCUAUGUCUUCAUUAGAUAUGAAGUCUGGAGAAGCUAUCCCGGGGAUAAUUGAGUGGUCGCGCCUAAGAGUCCAAAUCGACGGCGCGGUUUGCUUCAUCGAUGUCGGCUCUGCAUAUCCUGGCUGUGCACAAGCAGCCAAGGGUGGGGGUGUUCACCCAUUAAAAUGCAUGUGAGCUGGGUUCAGAUGGACAUUGAGUCUUUACUUGAUUUCCAGAACAAUACGUUGUGAUUCUAUUUGGUUGAAUGCCAUUAGAACAAUAAAAACAGUAUGUUCAAUAUCUACUUGAGGUGUUGAGUGUCUGAGAGGAAGGAUGUAAUAGUACGAGAGGAACUUACAUUCGAGGCCACUGGUCUAUCGGUUGUCUAACAAGGCAUGCCGAGCAGCUACGCCUUAAUGAAUAAAUCCUGAAUGCAUCUAAGGAUGAAGUCAACCUCAAAAAGAGACACCUUGAAGCGCUCAUAGAAGAUGAGUUUGAUAGGACUGUGGUGUAAGUAUCGAGGUAACGAGAUAUUCAGCCAGCAGUUACUAAUAGCUUCUACUCUAUACAUA